Molecule: ribosomal RNA, 473 nt
Filed under: uncultured bacterium
Lineage: Bacteria
Description: bacterial SSU rRNA
Rfam family: Bacterial small subunit ribosomal RNA
Source: RNAcentral
ACUCCUACGGGAGGCAGCAGUAGGGAAUCUUCCACAAUGGGCGAAAGCCUGAUGGAGCAACGCCGCGUGGGUGAAGAAGGUCUUCGGAUCGUAAAACCCUGUUGUUAGAGAAGAAAGUGCGUGAGAGUAACUGUUCACGUUUCGACGGUAUCUAACCAGAAAGCCACGGCUAACUACGUGCCAGCAGCCGCGGUAAUACGUAGGUGGCAAGCGUUAUCCGGAUUUAUUGGGCGUAAAGGGAACGCAGGCGGUCAUUUAAGUCUGAUGUGAAAGCCUUCGGCUUAACCGGAGUAGUGCAUUGGAAACUGGGAGACUUGAGUGCAGAAGAGGAGAGUGGAACUCCAUGUGUAGCGGUGAAAUGCGUAGAUAUAUGGAAGAACACCAGUGGCGAAAGCGGCUCUCUGGUCUGUAACUGACGCUGAGGUUCGAAAGCGUGGGUAGCAAACAGGAUUAGAUACCCUGGUAGGAUAGCG